CCUACGGGUGGCAGCAGUGGGGAAUAUUGCACAAUGGGGGAAACCCUGAUGCAGCGACGCCGCGUGAGUGAAGAAGUAUUUCGGUACGUAAAGCUCUAUCAGCAGGGAAGAAAAUGACGGUACCUGACUAAGAAGCCCCGGCUAACUACGUGCCAGCAGCCGCGGUAAUACGUAGGGGGCAAGCGUUAUCCGGAUUUACUGGGUGUAAAGGGAGUGUAGACGGUAGAGCAAGUCUGAUGUGAAAUGCCAUGGCUUAACCAUGGGACUGCAUUGGAAACUGUGCAACUAGAGUGCAGGAGAGGUAAGCGGAAUUCCUAGUGUAGCGGUGAAAUGCGUAGAUAUUAGGAGGAACACCAGUGGCGAAGGCGGCUUACUGGACUGUAACUGACGUUGAGGCUCGAAAGCGUGGGGAGCAAACAGGAUUAGAUACCCGUGUAGUC
This 440-nucleotide ribosomal RNA is filed under the name uncultured bacterium. RNAcentral describes it as "partial 16S ribosomal RNA". It matches the Rfam family "Bacterial small subunit ribosomal RNA", at positions 338 to 795 of the family's 1533-position model. The record is from RNAcentral.